This 770-nucleotide long non-coding RNA is filed under the name Chinchilla lanigera (long-tailed chinchilla). RNAcentral describes it as "lncRNA (ENSCLAG00000022628.1)". Lineage: Eukaryota; Metazoa; Chordata; Mammalia; Rodentia; Chinchillidae. The record is from RNAcentral.
UUAGUGAUCCAGAGAGGAGGUGUUCAAUGCUUGAUAGAGAUACCUGGCCUGUCUUCUAAGAAUUACAUUACACUCAAUCUGAACAGAAUCCUAAAGUAAAUCAGCAUCACAGAGCCUCAGUCCGUAGCUUCAAUCUGAGUGUGCAUUAUCUCAAAUUUAGACAUCUAAAAAAGGUUUUUCAUUCUCGAGUUUUAGUGCUUUCAAAUUACCUAUCUAAUUAGAUUACUAAAAGUGCUGCAGUGUUCUGGCACUGAACUCUACUUUCAAGCUCAUCUGCUUCUACUUUGUUCUUUCUCACUGAGCCCCCACAAUUCUGAUUCCUCAAACACACUCCUGUCUUAAGGCUUUCCUCUUCUUUUCCUUCUGUUAGCAACGCUUUCUCCCUGGAUAUUCCCAUUUAAGACCAACUCCCUUACUUCAUGUGGGUUUCUGUUUAAAUGUCAUCUCCUCAAGAAGAGGUCAUGCUAGUUAAACCAGCUAAGAAAGAGUCGUCAUCAUAUUUAUCCUCCCUCACUCUUGGUCACAGAAUUUAUUACUAUCUGAAAUUAUAUAGAACAUCCAGCUGUAAUCAGCCAUCUCUCCAGAAAAACUCAGGCUUACUGAGAACAGGGCAACUCCUUAGAAUCUUCUGCAACAAGAACAAUGGUUGGAAUAUUUAUUUACGGAAUACGAGGACAAACCCUGAGCUCAUAGAGUUUACAUUCCAACACAAGAGAAUAACUAGCAAACAAACAAGAGUGAAGAAACCAGUCCAUAGAAGGAUGUCUUGA